This 253-nucleotide unclassified non-coding RNA is filed under the name uncultured Caryophanales bacterium. RNAcentral describes it as "uncultured Bacillales bacterium contains 16S-23S intergenic spacer region". It matches the Rfam family "Bacterial small subunit ribosomal RNA", at positions 524 to 776 of the family's 1533-position model. The record is from RNAcentral. Lineage: Bacteria; Bacillati; Bacillota; Bacilli; Caryophanales.
UACGUAGGUGGCAAGCGUUGUCCGGAAUUAUUGGGCGUAAAGCGCGCGCAGGCGGUCCUUUAAGUCUGAUGUGAAGGCCCACGGCUCAACCGUGGAGGGUCAUUGGAAACUGGGGGACUUGAGUACAGAAGAGGAAAGUGGAAUUCGACGUGUAGCGGUGAAAUGCCUAGAGAUGUGGAGGAGCACCAGUGGCGAAGGCGACUUUCUGGUCUGUAACUGACGCUGAGGCGCGAAAGCGUGGGCAGCAAACAGG